RNAcentral lists this ribosomal RNA (499 nucleotides) under uncultured bacterium. RNAcentral describes it as "partial 16S ribosomal RNA". It matches the Rfam family "Bacterial small subunit ribosomal RNA", at positions 28 to 507 of the family's 1533-position model. The record is from RNAcentral.
GACGAACGCUGGCGGCGUGCCUAAUACAUGCAAAUCGAGCGAAGUGUUUCUGGUGCUUGCACUAGAAAAACUUAGCGGCGAGCGGGUGAGUAACACGUAAAGAACCUGCCUCAUAGACUGGGACAACUAUUGGAAACGAUAGCUAAUACCGGAUAACAGUAUUUCUCGCAUGAGAGAUAUUUAAUAGUUGGUUAUGCUAACACUAUGAGAUGGCUUUGCGGUGCAUUAGCUAGUUGGCGGGGUAAAGUCCCACCAAGGCGACGAUGCAUAGACGACCUGAGAGGGUGGUCGGCCACACGGGGAGUGAGACACGGCCCAGACUCCUGCGGGAGGCAGCAGUAGGGAAUCUUCCGCAAUGGGCGAGAGUCUGACGGAGCAACGCCGCGUGAGUGAAGAAGGAGCUCGGUUCGUAAAGCUCUGUUGUUAGGGAAGAAUGGAUGUGUAGUAACUAGACAUGUAAGUGACGGUACCUGGACAGAAAGCCACGGCUAACUACGUG